AUUGAACGCUGGCGGCAUGCCUUACACAUGCAAGUCGAACGGCAGCACGGGGGCAACCCUGGUGGCGAGUGGCGAACGGGUGAGUAAUACAUCGGAACAUGCCAAGUAGUGGGGGAUAACCCGGCGAAAGCUGGGCUAAUACCGCAUACGACCUAAGGGUGAAAGCUGGGGAUUCGCAAGGACCUGGCGCUAUUUGAUUGGCCGAUGUCGGAUUAGCUAGUUGGUGGGGUAAAGGCCUACCAAGGCGACGAUCCGUAGCUGGUUUGAGAGAACGACCAGCCACACUGGAACUGAGACACGGUCCAGACUCCUACGGGAGGCAGCAGUGGGGAAUUUUGGACAAUGGGGGCAACCCUGAUCCAGCAAUGCCGCGUGAGUGAUGAAGGCCCUCGGGUUGUAAAACUCUUUCGGUGGGGAAGAAAUCUUUAUGGUGAAUAGCCGUGGAGGAUGACGGUACCCGAAGAAGAAGCACCGGCUAACUACGUGCCAGCCGCCGCAGUAA
RNAcentral lists this ribosomal RNA (502 nucleotides) under uncultured bacterium. Its description in RNAcentral is "partial 16S ribosomal RNA". It matches the Rfam family "Bacterial small subunit ribosomal RNA", at positions 30 to 523 of the family's 1533-position model. The record is from RNAcentral.